Molecule: long non-coding RNA, 227 nt
Filed under: Physcomitrium patens
Lineage: Eukaryota; Viridiplantae; Streptophyta; Bryopsida; Funariales; Funariaceae
Description: long non-coding RNA (PPAT_LNC002714)
Source: RNAcentral
AGACCGCCUUGGGAAUGGAGUUGGCCUUUGAAGCUGUCUGUCCCAACUGACGGAGUUGACUUUCAAAAGUCUCUCUUUCUCUUUCUCACUCUCUCUCACUCUCUCACUCUCCCUCGCACGAUCUUCAUUCAGUGUUGGUCCUAGGAGGAUGAGGCAGGCAUCACGAGUUACGAUGAUUAGAAAACCUGCAACCACAGACAGGACCCCCCUCCACUCAUUAGAAGAAU